This 254-nucleotide ribosomal RNA is filed under the name uncultured bacterium. Its description in RNAcentral is "partial 16S ribosomal RNA". It matches the Rfam family "Bacterial small subunit ribosomal RNA", at positions 524 to 776 of the family's 1533-position model. The record is from RNAcentral.
UACGUAGGGUGCGAGCGUUGUCCGGAAUUAUUGGGCGUAAAGAGCUCGUAGGCGGUGUGUCACGUCGGCCGUGAAAACCUGCAGCUUAACUGUGGGCGUGCGGUCGAUACGGGAAUCACUGGAGUUCGGAAGGGGAGACUGGAAUUCCUGGUGUAGCGGUGAAAUGCGCAGAUAUCAGGAGGAACACCGGUGGCGAAGGCGGGUCUCUGGGCCGAUACUGACGCUGAGGAGCGAAAGCGUGGGGAGCAAACAGG